RNAcentral lists this unclassified non-coding RNA (719 nucleotides) under Hevea brasiliensis (rubber tree). The record is from RNAcentral. Lineage: Eukaryota; Viridiplantae; Streptophyta; Magnoliopsida; Malpighiales; Euphorbiaceae.
UUUGCCAUGCCAAUGCAAAGAAGAUUGUCACACUUUCAGCAGCAGCAACAACCCUUUCUCAAUAGCUUCACAGCUUUGGGUUUUGGUUAUGAAGGAAGCACGAAUGCUACUUUUCUACAUGAGAGGCGCUUUUGCACCAGCCCAGGGUCUGAUUUGCUUGAAGAUCAUGGGCUUCUUCAAGACAUUGUCCCUUCCCAUAUGCUAAAGGAGUAGACGAGAACACGUUAUUACUUUGAAGUUCCAUUAACUGACUUUAAAGGAGGUGUAGAUGAAGGGGAGGUGAACAUGAAGGGGCCUCUACUGAUAUAUAUAAAAAUAUAAAAAAAUAUAUAGUCUGUAAUUUUCUUUUUGACAGGUCAUGAUCUCUCUUGAAGAAGAACCAGACUUCCAUUUACACAAGCUCUGAUGAAUUCACUGUAAGAUGGGGUUUUUCUCGAAUGACAAGGACUAGUGUCUUUGUUGGAUUCGGUUUCCUGGCCAUUGCUUCUAUUUCCCCCACCUCUUUCUCCCUCCUCCUCCUCACCCCAACCGCCAACGGCCUCACCCCUUCUUUUUCCAUUUCUGUGGUUUUGGGUUUGUAGGGAUUACAGAUGAUAUAGAAAAUGAGGUUAUUUCAACUUUAAUGCUAUCUUCCGACCCUAUCGUUUGUCUUAUGCUAUUUGUGUUUUGUUGUAGAAGGAAUGUGCAUUCAUUUCAAGAGAGCAAGUAAUACAAUCAAG